This 3489-nucleotide long non-coding RNA is filed under the name Homo sapiens (human). Its description in RNAcentral is "non-protein coding lnc-EXTL3-2:2". The record is from RNAcentral. Lineage: Eukaryota; Metazoa; Chordata; Mammalia; Primates; Hominidae.
AAAAAAGAAAAAAAAAAAAGUAGAGAUUGCAUUAGUUCCAUAUCUCCGCAGAGUUCUCUGGUAGAUUAAAUGUUCUCUGUGCACUAGGCCAAGGAAGUUCCUGUUACCUUUGAAAAUCAUUGUGUUUGCUCUGAUUGUCUACAUUAGCUCAUAUCAGUCUUUUGAACACUGGUUCAAAUCUGGGUGUUGGGUUAGGAUCUGAUGAGUAGAGAAUAGUGGAAAGUUGAUAUAGGAAGGUAUACUGGUUUCUGGUGUGAUUCUUUAGCUACAUUUAUUCCUUGUCUUAUGUCAUUUCACUGGAUCAUGUAACUGUCCUGGCUUUCAGAAAUUAUAUUAGAUGCCCAGCCUUUCUCAUUCAGAGAUGCCUGUAUUAUUAUGUUAUUUCGAUUGCCUACCAAAAAAAAAAAAAAAAGAAAAGGUUUGUUUUUAGUUCUCUGCCUCUGCAAGUCUUUGUGAUCACAUUUGUUAAAUUGAAUCUGAGAUUCAAAUAUUUCAUUUAAUAUUUUCUGGGUUUUGAUAAUGGGAUAUUCUGUAAGAUAAAGCAAGUAAUCCUAGAGUGAUUUACUUUAUGUUUAGCCAUCCACCAUUUUCCUAUUUCUCUACUCCUCCCAUUCUCCAUUUUUAAAAGGAAAUUAACAAAUGUCUUCCUUUAUCCCUGCCUCAGAUAAUUUUUCCCUGAACUCAUCUUGUCAGCAGAAACAUUUAAUGUGAAAUAAUUCUGUAUUUCUGAGACAAGAUCAACACAGUAGUUCUUUACAUUGAGCUGAGGUGAAUGUAUACUUAAAAAUACUCUAUUUUCUUUUUAUAUGAACUUAAAAUUUUUAAAAUCAUAUAUGGGACUCCCCAAUGUGAAAAUAUUAGUCUGGACAUUCUCUUGCCAUCAGGUGCUAUUUCUACCUUAGCUGUGAGUUAGACUAAAUCCAAAUUUCGUAUCAUUCAUCUUUUUAUAAUAUUUAACUUCCCUAGAAUCACCCCAUUUCAUGUCUUUAACCCCAACUUCCAACAACUUUUCUGCUUUUAUUUUCAAAUGUCAAAUUGUAUUUUUGUGUUUUAUUUUCUCAUUGAAGUGUAAAAGUAUCACAUAUAUGAAGGAAUGGCUGGUUUAGACAUUUACUUUGGCAUAGUAAAGAUUGAUAUUGAUACCACCCACCAUCCUUUCCUCUAGCCCCAGAAAGAAAAGUUUGACAACUCAAAAACGAUUAAAUUAUCUUAUCUUGUUAUUUAAUAGAACAAUGGAAGCUGUUUCGUCAAAAUUAAAAUACUUUACCAAAAAAAUACUUUUUUGUAUUUUAAUCUGAUAGUGAAUUUGGGGAUUAUUUAUGUAAAUGUAUCAUAAUUAAUAGUAAUUAUGAGUUAUUUCACUCUCUGUAAUUUGUGAUACCCAAGAUUCAUAUUUAUUUAAUGUGAGGUGUUUUUUGAGGCUUUUUUGUUUUAUCUUGUUUUCUUAACUUUUUACAGUGUUGUUAGAUUAUCGCGGUCAUCUCGGCAUGUGGAUCGCUCCUCCUGUAGAUCAGCUGUUCUCUCUUAGAGUCAGGACAAGGAUCUUUUAGAAUAGGUAUGUUAACUUCUCAUCCUAACCCUAUCAAUAUAUCAGAGGCUUUAUGAAGGAGACUCUACAGAUAACCACAAAUCUUAUCAAGAAAAUUCUCCUUAAAAAAAGUUAUCCUUUAUUUUGUUGUUAAAUUUCCCAGUUUUUAAAAGUGUUUUAUCAAAAUGACUUCAUAAUUGAAGCAAAUACCUUUUGGAAGUAUAUAUGUUACAUAAGACUUUCACUAAAUCUGUGCGUAAAGCUUUUAUAAUCUGAGAUAUUGUUAUGUAUUAGGUUUGUGCAAACCUAAUAUAAAAGGGUUCAUCUGUAAGUAUCAUUUAGAGGCAAAAUAAUUUCCCCCUCACAUCUAAUGUGGACUCAAAUUUUGGCAACUGGAAUGUUAUCCUCUUGGUAGGCAUUCUAAAUUAAUGAAUACUGCUAUGUGGUGUAGUAAACAAAUUUGCCAUAAAAUGCCAUUUAAGGAUUUUCUUUUUACCUUUAUUUCAUUAUAAAAGUAUAUGAGUUGAAGAUCAUAUAAAAAAUAUGAAACUCCUACACAGGAAAUCCCCAAUUUUGUGAUUUAAUAGGUUGUAAAAAGAGUUGUUCCAAAUUCAGACUACAUCUCAUCAUAUAAAUAAUAUUAUGAAUAAUAAGGGUAAAAGAUUAGCCAACAAAAGCUAAUCUAGUACACCCCAUAGAGGUACUCCAGGUGUCUUGGUUUUGGAUAAAUUUUUAUAGUGGAGAAAGGUUACUUUGAUCUCUCAAUAAUUGCUUGGUACACUUCUUCCUAGGCAAUAUGCUCAUGAUACCCUCUUCAUGUGACCUAUUCCUCAAAUGCUGCAUUCUCCAAAACUUCCUUACCUGCCUUCUAUCCCCUAGUCAUUCUUAUCAAUACUUCCAAAAUAUAACCUAUCUCAAGUGUUAGAAAUUUGCUUUAACUAAUUUAUAUUAAAGUGUUAGUGACUAUAGCCCUUUUAUCUCUCUUAAAGAGAAAUCUGCAUUAAAAGCAAACACAUUGCUGUUAGCUCAAAUUAAUGUCAGUGAGUAGAAUCUUAAGCUUUAAAACAAAAGUGGAAAUAAUUUAAAUUAGUGUUGAUGGGACUAUUUUGAGGCAAGAGAUACCAUUAAGUGACCUAGCUUGGAAAUCUGCCCCCUUUGCCCAAACCCAUGUGAUGUCUGAAACUACUGUAUAUUUUCAAUGACCUUGAGAAAGGGAGCUAGUCAUUUGUAUUUAUGGGCCUUAUGAAGUCAGGGCCUGCUGAUCCUGUUUUUUAAGUUCAAGCGCAAUGCCUGAAGCAUCCUAGAUCUCCUUCACCCUCAUUCUACCUGACAGACAGCUAGGUCUGUCUUCCAGCUCUUUCUCAUUGAUACUACCUUUACAUAUGAAUACUAUCCAUGCUUGUUAAAAAAAAAAAAAGUCUUUCCCCAUUUUACUGUUACAAUUUUUCAAGAGCUAUAAAGGUAGAAAAAGUAUUCCUUUUCAUUAUUCUAAAAAAUAUGUCAUUUUUAAAUAGCUGGCACUUAGCAGUUUAGUUUUCCAAACUUUAUUCUGAAUCAAAUUGCUGAGGUGAUUCUAAAUGUCUAAUGUUGAUUUAUCAUAUAAACAUCUAAUUAGAAAGUGUUUAUGCUAAAGACUUGUAUUUUGUGGCAUUAGUUCUUCAUGUUUCUUUUUUAUAUGUUUAUUAAAAUUGUUCACUUCCAAAUGAGUGGAAAAGUUGCUGUUGUUGGGAUGUACAGGGCAAGUGCACUUGGUUAGAGCAUGAACUGGGAAUUUCACAUUCUCUGAUGUGCUUUGCACUCUGCUCUUGUAGAUUUAUUUUGUUUACAGUAGACUGAUGUCAGUUUUUGUAAAUGUUUUUUCUUAGCACUUUAACUGUGAGUGUACAAACUGAUUUUAAAUGUAGUGGUUGUAUAUUUUGGUUAUAAAUUGGAGAUUUUUAAUAAAAUUAAAUAAUUCUCUU